GCAAUGCUCAGAAAGUUCCCAGGUCCCUUAGACGUAAUCUAAGAGUAUACUCUGCAUUUUUUUGGUUGACAUAUGGUCCAACUAAUAAAGCCCAGUAAAUUAAAAGCUUGUAAUAAUACCAAUAAGCUCUUUCAUAGAACUCAUACCGAAACCCUUUUAUUAAAUGGUGUUAAGCGGUUAUUCGGGUUUUCUUCAAAUCACUUAUAAUUCAAGUCUCAUUUCCACAUGGGGUAUUCCAUCUUCUAAAUAGGCAUCGCUGCAUUUUUUAAAUCCAACGGAACGAUAUAAAGGUUGUGCGUAUUCUUGACUUGAUAAUACAAAUGUCUUUGAUGAUGAAAACUCUUGCUUGCUUGUUUCUAAUGCCUGGAGCAUGAGCUUACGACCAUACCCAUUUUUUCUCUCAUCAGGGUCGACAACCACCCGACCGAUUCGCACCGUCUGUUGCUGUUCUGGAAUAAGUCGUGCAUAUGCCACUAAUUUUCCAUUGGCGUUUCUCAACAUUAAAUGCCCACAUUUUAAAUCAAUUUCAUCAACCUCGGGAUAUGCGCAUUUUUGUUCCACUACAAACACAUUUGUACGCAAAAGGUAAAUGUCAUACAGCUCUUUAACAUCCAAGCUGUUAAAAUAUUUAUACACAAACUCCAAGUUACUCAUUUAAAAGCUUUAACUAAUAAAAUAAAAAGAAAGUGAUGAAACGGUAAACUAUCUGUCAACCAACAGGCUCCUGUAUCAAAAAUUAACUAUCAAAGCUCUUAAUCGGUUUAUAGCUUCGUAUUAGUGUGUCCAAACCCGUGAAUUUUAGAAAGUAGGUAUUUGCCGGAUGCUGUUUAGAAGUUUUAAAGAUAGUGGAAUAAUAAAAAAAAAAAAAACGCCUGGAAUAAAGUGCGCGGAAAAUGAAAAAUGUUUCCUUAUAUUUAAGUAUCAGAGAAAACCAGGAAGUUAGCUGAUGCGACAGGAGAUAAAAAAUUUUAUACGAUGAAUCACUUAAUCUGUCCUUGACCCGAAUACAAUCUUUUAAUCAAGGAUAAGAAUAUUUUUUUUGAAUGAGUAAUAGUUACAGAAUGCAAAGGUUUGCUAAUUUUACUCGCUACAAAAUACUUUUUGAAGCUUUAAACAUGAUCUUCAGUUUAAUUCAUUAGAAAAGAUUUGUUCCAUGGAAUUUAAAAAAAUAUACUUAUGUCGUUCCCGAUGGCUUGAUAGUGUACAGUGUUCUUGACAGAGGAACCUAUCUAUUUUAAAUCAAUUACAUUAAAGUACUGAAUAAAUAUUUGUUUCUAAAGAAUUAAAUUAUCUAAAACGAUUGUAAACUUUCUAAAACUAGCAUUUUUCAUAUAUAUAUUGACUGAUAUCUUUUAGACAUCUAGUCCGUUGCAAAGAUCAACUUGAUGGUGCUUUGAGACCAUGGUUUCCGGUAUAGUUAACAACUUGUGGAGGAACCCAACCUUUCAAUGAGUUCUCUUCAUCUUCUAACUCAUAGACUUCUAUAGCCAAAGGCCUACAGCAAUCCACCAUUUUGCUGCUUUCAACAUCAGUAGCGUCCUCUCCCCAGCCCCAAUUUGAUAAGUCUCCACCAGGACAAGCACUAAUUGCAACCAAUAAAUCUUGUUCUGCGAAACAUUGGAAAUAAUCUUUUGAAGUUGCGGGACACGUUUCCAUGAAGUAUUGAUCAUAUUCGUUAAGCCCGGUGACUUGAAAGACAUUCAAUACAUCAUGGACGUCAAACUCUGUCAAGCCAUAUGGCAUUAUAGCUCUCGUUAAAUUGGAAUGACAAUGCAAAUCGUUAUCCUUCCCAGAAAUUAAUUUAUCGAUGUAUGGAUCACAUCUUGUACCGAGUGUGUCAUGAACUCGUCCACCCCAUUCAUCGUGUCGUGCCUGAAGCGAAUCCCCAAUUAUUGUAACUAGGGGUCGUAAAUACGGUAGUGUUGACCAUAAUCUGUCAUAAGUAGAAACAUGUGCAGAAUGUAUUUGGCGAGUUCUAGCUGCCCAAAAUCUUUCUCGAGGAUUGUGAAAGUUCCAAAUAUUUAAAUCACAUACCUGAGGGCCUUCAGGUACGACAAUGCUAAAUAUUGAUUUUUGGGGAAUCUUCACAGCAAGGCCAGUUCUGGGUUGGCAUACAUGUCUUCCUACUAAUUUUUUAGGAGCAUUGGCUAUACGAGCAUAAAGUUCUUUAUCUGCAUACAAGGGGGAACCUGGAUGUGGAUAGUACGCGGGUAAAGGUUUAGGUAAAUUAUAUUUUGUUUUCUCGGGUUUUUGAGAAGAAGAAGCUAAUUCUGAAAUUUCUGUCAUCUAAAAGUUAAAAUAAAAUACGUUAGAAUUGAAUUUCAAAAUAGAAGACGAUUGCUACCCAUGUGAAUGAAAGGCUUUCAUGUUGGAUAGUUAAUUUAUAACGUCUGUCGGCCAGUUGGUUUCCUUCCCCUAUCUACUAAAGCGUUAAAAACACUGCUUUUCCGAUUGAUUUAAGCGAAUAUACCUAUCUACUGUGGGGCCCCGCUUCAAAUAAGAUAGAAUAACAUGUAUUUGUGUGUUUGUUAUCACUCAUGAUAUUCUCGCAGAAUAUCACGCUGUAUGCUCUGUAAACAUAUCCUCGGCUGUGCCUGUUGCAGUAGAAUUAGCUGUUAAUGCUCUCACAACAUUCUGAUAUCGCGAUUUUUCACAUUCCAGUGAAAUGAAUAACUUGCUGCUUAGCGCAAGAGAAUGCCAUAAAUUCUAUGUGUUAGUUUAAAUUUAUUGAUUUGAAAAAGUAAGUGUAC
This is a non-coding RNA of Schizosaccharomyces pombe (fission yeast), 2750 nucleotides long. The record is from the annotation of a GenBank genome assembly. Lineage: Eukaryota; Fungi; Ascomycota; Schizosaccharomycetes; Schizosaccharomycetales; Schizosaccharomycetaceae.